Molecule: ribosomal RNA, 440 nt
Filed under: uncultured bacterium
Lineage: Bacteria
Description: partial 16S ribosomal RNA
Rfam family: Bacterial small subunit ribosomal RNA
Source: RNAcentral
CCUACGGGGGGCAGCAGUGGGGGAUAUUGCACAAUGGGGGAAACCCUGAUGCAGCGACGCCGCGUGUGGGAAGACGGUCCUCUGGAUUGUAAACCACUGUCCCCAGGGACGAAGAUGACGGUACCUGGGGAGGAAGCUCCGGCUAACUACGUGCCAGCAGCCGCGGUAAUACGUAGGGAGCGAGCGUUGUCCGGAAUUACUGGGUGUAAGGGGAGCGUAGGCGGGACUGCAAGUUGGGUGUCAAAUCUACCGGCUCAACCGGUAGCCGCACUCAAAACUGCAGUUCUUGAGUGAAGUAGAGGCAGGCGGAAUUCCUAGUGUAGCGGUGAAAUGCGUAGAUAUUAGGAGGAACACCAGUGGCGAAGGCGGCCUGCUGGGCUUUUACUGACGCUGAGGCUCGAAAGUGUGGGGAGCAAACAGGAUUAGAUACCCUGGUAGUC